Molecule: ribosomal RNA, 462 nt
Filed under: uncultured bacterium
Lineage: Bacteria
Description: bacterial SSU rRNA
Rfam family: Bacterial small subunit ribosomal RNA
Source: RNAcentral
ACGACGCUGGCGGCGUGCCUAACACAUGCAAGUCGAACGGGGUAAAGAGCUUUCGGUUUUUACUUAGUGGCGAACGGGUGAGUAACGCGUGAGAAACCUGCCUUUCAGUGGGGGACAACAGUUGGAAACGACUGCUAAUACCGCAUAAUGUUAUUUGGGGGCAUCCCUGAAUAACCAAAGAUUUAUUGCUGAAAGAUGGUCUCGCGUCUGAUUAGCUAGUUGGUGAGGUAACGGCUCACCAAGGCGACGAUCAGUAGCCGGUCUGAGAGGAUGAACGGCCACAUUGGGACUGAGAUACGGCCCCAGACUCCUACGGGAGGCAGCAGUGGGGAAUAUUGGGCAAUGGGGGAAACCCUGACCCAGCAACGCCGCGUGAAGGAAGAAGGCCCUCGGGUUGUAAACUUCUUUUAGCAGGGACGAAUUCUGACGGUACCUGCAGAAAAAGCAACGGCUAACUACGUG